Molecule: ribosomal RNA, 497 nt
Filed under: uncultured bacterium
Lineage: Bacteria
Description: bacterial SSU rRNA
Rfam family: Bacterial small subunit ribosomal RNA
Source: RNAcentral
AGAGUUUGAUCAUGGCUCAGGACGAACGCUGGCGGCGUGCUUAACACAUGCAAGUCGAGCGGAAAGGCCCUUCGGGGUACUCGAGCGGCGAACGGGUGAGUAACACGUGAGUAACCUGCCCCUGACUUUGGGAUAAGCCCGGGAAACUGGGUCUAAUACCGGAUAUGACCUGUCGUGGCAUCGCGGUGGGUGGAAAGUUUUUUCGGUUGGGGAUGGACUCGCGGCCUAUCAGCUUGUUGGUGGGGUAAUGGCCUACCAAGGCGACGACGGGUAGCCGGCCUGAGAGGGCGACCGGCCACACUGGGACUGAGACACGGCCCAGACUCCUACGGGAGGCAGCAGUGGGGAAUAUUGCGCAAUGGGCGAAAGCCUGACGCAGCGACGCCGCGUGGGGGAUGACGGCCUUCGGGUUGUAAACCUCUUUCAGCAGGGACGAAGUUGACGUGUACCUGCAGAAGAAGCGCCGGCUAACUACGUGCCAGCAGCGGCGGUAAUUC